UACAGAGGUCCCAAGCGUUGCUCGGAUUCAUUGGGCGUAAAGGGUGCGUAGGUGGCGCCGUAAGUCGGGUGUGAAAUUUCGGAGCUUAACUCCGAAACUGCAUUCGAUACUGCGGUGCUUGAGGACUGGAGAGGAGACUGGAAUUCAUGGUGUAGCAGUGAAAUGCGUAGAGAUCAUGAGGAAGACCAGUGGCGAAGGCGGGUCUCUGGACAGUUCCUGACACUGAGGCACGAAGGCCAGGGGAGCAAACGGG
RNAcentral lists this ribosomal RNA (253 nucleotides) under uncultured bacterium. RNAcentral describes it as "partial 16S ribosomal RNA". It matches the Rfam family "Bacterial small subunit ribosomal RNA", at positions 524 to 776 of the family's 1533-position model. The record is from RNAcentral.